RNAcentral lists this long non-coding RNA (320 nucleotides) under Malus domestica (apple). Its description in RNAcentral is "long non-coding RNA (MDOM_LNC014257)". Lineage: Eukaryota; Viridiplantae; Streptophyta; Magnoliopsida; Rosales; Rosaceae. The record is from RNAcentral.
CUCCCCAGCCUCCCCUUCCCCCACAACCCCUUCUUUCUCCAUUAGACCUUCUUCCAAGCUAACCCACCUCUCCUCCUCCUUCCUAAACCCCUCCACCAUCCUCCACCUCACACCCUCCACCGCCACCCCCCACCACCACCACCGACGCCGCAACUUCACAGUCAAAGCCGCCAGAGGCAAGUUCGAGCGCAAAAAGCCCCAUGUCAACAUCGGCACAAUCGGCCACGUCGAUCACGGCAAAACCACCCUCACCGCCGCGCUCACCAUGGCCUUGGCCUCCAUCGGCAACAGCGUCUCCAAGAAGUACGACGAAAUCGACG